RNAcentral lists this ribosomal RNA (490 nucleotides) under uncultured bacterium. RNAcentral describes it as "partial 16S ribosomal RNA". It matches the Rfam family "Bacterial small subunit ribosomal RNA", at positions 30 to 507 of the family's 1533-position model. The record is from RNAcentral.
AUUGAACGCUGGCGGCAGGCCUAACACAUGCAAGUCGAACGGUAACAGGAAGAAGCUUGCUUCUUUGCUGACGAGUGGCGGACGGGUGAGUAAUGUCUGGGAAACUGCCUGAUGGAGGGGGAUAACUACUGGAAACGGUAGCUAAUACCGCAUAACGUCGCAAGACCAAAGAGGGGGACCUUCGGGCCGCUUGCCAUCGGAUGUGCCCCGAUGGGAUGAGCUAGUAGGUGGGGUAACGGCUCACCUAGGCGAAUAUCCCUAGCUGGUCUGAGAGGAUGACCGGCCACACUGGAACUGGACCACGGUCCAUACUCCUGCGGGAGGCAGCAGUGGGGAAUAUUGCACAAUGGGCGCAAGCCUGAUGCAGCCGUGCCGCGUGUAUGAAGACGGCCUUCGGGUUGUAAAGUACUUUCAGCGGGGAGGAAGGGAGUAAAGUUAAUACCUUUGCUCAUUGACGUUACCCGCAGAAGAAGCACCGGCUAACUCCGUG